GAUGAAGAACGUAGCGAAAUGCGAUAAGUAAUGUGAAUUGCAGAAUUCAGUGAAUCAUCGAAUCUUUGAACGCACCUUGCGCCCCUUGGUUAUUCCGAAGGGCAUGCCUGUUUGAGUAUCAUGAACACCUCAACUCUUGUGGUUUCCCACAAUGAGCUUGGACUGUGGAGGUUUUGUUGGCCCUGUGGUCAGCUCCUCUCAAAUGGAUCAGCUUACCGGUGUUUGGUGGCAUUACGGGUGUGAUAACUAUCUACGCUCGUGGUCGUCUCCAAAUAACCUCCAGUGAUGGAGGUUCGCUGGAGCUUAUAAAUGUCUCUCCCCAGUGAAGACAGCCUUUGAACGUUCGAUCUCAAAUCAGGUAGGACUACCCGCUGAACUUAAGCAUAUCAAUAAGCGGAGGA
RNAcentral lists this unclassified non-coding RNA (401 nucleotides) under soil metagenome. RNAcentral describes it as "partial contains 5.8S ribosomal RNA, internal transcribed spacer 2, and large subunit ribosomal RNA". The stretch from base 1 to 121 matches the Rfam family "5.8S ribosomal RNA", at positions 35 to 154 of the family's 154-position model. The record is from RNAcentral.